This 1036-nucleotide long non-coding RNA is filed under the name Taeniopygia guttata (zebra finch). RNAcentral's name for it is "lncRNA (ENSTGUG00000021935.1)". Lineage: Eukaryota; Metazoa; Chordata; Aves; Passeriformes; Estrildidae. The record is from RNAcentral.
UGCAUUCUGCUGCUACUGCCCUAACAUAUGAGGAGCAAAUAACACAGGGAAGAGGAGGAUGCCAUCAAGUUCCUCAGGUACAUUUCUUAUGAUUAAAAGCACAAGUUAAUGGUGCCAAGUAAUACUUCAGCAUCUUCUGCAAACUCAUCUCCCAUACUCUUGGAUGAACUUGUUUUCCAUUCAGUAACCUUCUCACAGGCUGACUCUGAGAUGCAAAAUGCUGCACAGGUUUAGGUCCCAGAAGAUUGAAACAGGAACAGUAUCACAGAAAAUAGAGUGGAAAAUGAUCAUCCCAGGUAUUAAGGAUUCAUCUUCAAGCACUUAUGCUCUUCUGCCUAAUCUUCCCUUAUCUCCCGAGUGGCCAUCGAGCAGCCUCUUGGAAUUAAGAGGGCUCAGUGCUAAUAAGCUCAAGAACAGCUCUGGUUUGGAAAUGCCAUGGAAGACUCCUCAGCCUCUCCCAAAGCACCUCCUAGAAUCGCUUCCCUUUGCAGUGCAAUAUCCACAAAUCCCCUGCUGCACACCCAGCUCAUCAGAUGAAGGCAGAGAACAAGCAAACGUCCAGAGGGUGCAGGUUAGGAACACUGGUCCCACAUUGCUUGCUGCCCUGGAUGGAAGCCAGGACUCACAGAGUGAAAGGGCUGAGUGCUCACCCGAAAGCUGCUGCCUUCAAAGCAACAGGUAUGGGAGACAUUGACUGAAGCUUUUACCCUUCUCUUGUGGGGGGAGCUGGGCUGGUUGGGGCUUUACUGGGCUGCAGGGCUGCAAAGCUCCUCUGCACUCACAUGGGCUCAGGAGAAGAUUUCCUGCACACAAAUCCUAGUCAAACCGGGAAAUCUCUUGUGCUGGUUUUGUGCCUCUGUAAUUACAAGCUGCCUGUCUGGCAGCUUGAGCAGAUCCUUUCAGCAUUACUAAAAGCAAUAAAGAGUUGGAAAGAAAAGACGAGAAAGGACAAUGUGGAUUUUUGCAAGGGGAGAGAGCAGGAAGGGCCAGGAGAGUGUCAGGAAAGCCAGAGAGGGACAUUUUGGCUAUAUCCUCA